Molecule: long non-coding RNA, 1362 nt
Organism: Thunnus maccoyii (southern bluefin tuna)
Lineage: Eukaryota; Metazoa; Chordata; Actinopteri; Scombriformes; Scombridae
Exons: 2
Source: RefSeq, a predicted model, not a curated record
UAGCUGGUGAACAUAGUGGAGCAUUUAGCAGCUAAAGAGCCUGCGUCAUGACAAACAUGCAAAGAUCAUGGGCUGUUUGUUCAGACAAGUCUAUAAUAACAAAUAAAAGUCAAGGCAUCACCAAAAUCACAAGGAUUCAUUCUCUGCGAAGCCUCAUACCAAAUUUCGUGUCAAUCGGACAAGUAGUUGAUGAGAUAAUUUGGACCAAAAUGUUUGAUUGAUUGCGUGACUAACAUUUCCGUCCUUAGCAUGGAUUUAUUAAGGAGAUUUGGAUACUGUGUUUGUCCCUAUAAAAGUUCCUUAGUGGUGCAUGAAGCCAAAAAAAGUCUGCCAUGUUUCUGUGGUAGGUGUGGGCAGAUCGAUCCCAAAAUAUUGAUACUACAGAUACUAUGUUUCGUUUUUGAAGAUCAAUUGAUACAAGUUUCAGUUUCUCUCUUCUGCAUUGUACACAUUUAAUCAGAGUCGAACUGCCUGGGCAAACAACGUUCUGUCGUGGUGUCGUGUGUGCACUCAAACAACGAACAUACCCAGCGUGCACACCAUCAGCACCAAUCCGACGCAUGAAUGCAGUGGUGGCUGAAUGAAAGAGGAGCAUUGUGUGGAGAUUGAAGAGCAGCUGGAGUUUCGUGCAAAUUUCAUCACUUCACAUGACUCCUGGAUACGAAAGCUGUCAGAAUCGCAUCAGUUACUCCACCUGUUGCAACCGACUGCCGGGCUGCCGCACGUAAGAAGUGUACAGUGCGGCAUUAAAGAAAAAAACUCUCAUCUGAUCCUCUGCUGCUGUCAGAACUCUCUGAUGUUUCAUACAUUCCACCAUCUCUCUUUCUUUUUUUUUUGACAUCUGUAAUUUACUUUUGUGUUGAACACUCUUCACCUCAUCUACUGCAGUAUGUGCUUCCCUGUGAGGUUUGACAGAGUUACUUUUUGAACACAGAAUACUCUGGAGCUCCGUGUGUAGGUGGAGACAGUGAAGGCGUCGGGAGAGUUUUUCCAAGUGAAAACAGUUCUCUACUUAGUUACCAAACUGUCUUGAAGCUGCACUGCAUCCCGGACUGUGCUGCACCAGCUAAUUGUAAAUCCAUCACUUAGUUUGUGUGUUUAGUUCUCCUCAAGUUCUUAAGUCACUUGUAGCUAGUUUCAAACUAAUGAUUUACUAAAUCAGGUCGCACCAUUAAAGCUUAAGAAACAUCUUAUCUGGUUAACACUUCAGGAAAAUGUAAAUCGGUUGCCAGGAAACAUGCCAAUAAAAAGCAAGCAACAAAGUCAGCAGGAAAUGACUGCAGCAUCACAAACUCUAACAUAACUUCCAAAAAUAACAGUUUUAUUAGCCAAAAGAUAAAAUAAAUUCAACUGCCAAGCCUU